GUUUUUUCUUGGCAAAGAAACUGUAAUGGUUUACCAUUUCCUUCUCCAAUAGAUUAAGGCAAACAGAGGUUAAGCAACUUGCUCAGGGUCACACAACCAAUUCAGAUUUGAAUGCAAUUCUUUUUGACACCCGGACCCAGCACUCUAUCCAUGAGCCUUCUACCUGCUUCCAGAGAAACAUAAAUAUAGAGCUAGAGACAGACACAAAUAUAGAUGGAAUAGAGAUUGAGAUGGCAGAGAGAGAUAAAGAGAUAUAGAAUCAACACAUGAUAUUUUUGAGGCACCAGCAGAUGGGGGAAAGACAAGGAAAGAUUUUAUGUAGGAGUCAGUGCUUGAGCCAAGUUUUGAAGGAAUCUGGGGCUUCUAAGAGCUGAAAGCGAGAAGGGAAUGCAUUGUAGGCAUCAUAGACUGCCAUUUCAAAGGCACAGAAAGGGCAAAUCUUACAUGAGGAGCAUUAAGAAGACCACUUGGGCUGAAUGUUGGGUUCGUGAAGGGUGGUCACAUAGAAUAAGUCUGGAAAGGUUGAGAUUAGGUGGUGAAAAGCUUUAUAUGCCAAAUAGAAGAGAUUAUUUUGCUCCUAGAGGGAAGAGGGAAGCAUUGGAGUUUGAAUUUCCAGUCAUGGAGAGAAUCUAUGGCAACCUGCUGUUUGUCUCAGACAUGCUAAAAUAUUACAUACGCAUUUAUUCCUUGUCAGCACCAAAUAAAAAUGUUCAUCAAUCCUACUGAAUGCAGAACCCUGACAAGACCCUAGAAGCUCUUGGAUUCAGUUUGGCAAACCAUGGGAACUAUGGCUUGGGAAUGAGAAAAUAAAUUAUGUAUAAUAUUUAUUUAAACUAUUCAGCAAUGUGACUGACUUGCACUUAGCUAGAGGAAUGUUUUUAGGAAGUGAGAGACAAAUGUUGUUUUUUUGCUGUAAGAGAAAACAGCAUGGGAAGAAUGGAGAUGUUUGUGCAAUUCUAAUCACAAAUAUAUUUUCCUUUUGCUGGUUUGUCUCCUGAGUCUCUUCCUUUUGUCAUGCCCAGCUGAUGCAUUUGGGGCCCAGCUUUGCUCCGUGGGUGUUGAGAGCUGAGGAAAAGUGACUAAAAGCUCUGCUUUCAGAAGCACCCACAGGCAACAUUUAAGAAGCUGGUUGAUUUAGUCAUUUCCCAACCUGCUGGAAAGGCAACCCAGAUGAGAGCAGCUGAAUUUCUUCCUGAUUGUGAGGGAGUAUGUGUGAAGUUGAGAGGCAGGAAGGCCCCUGGGUGCCCUUGGGCUUUAUUAAUUCCCCAAACCAAAAUUUCCCAACAUCCUGCUUGUUUUCUUAAAUCAAGGCUUUCAUUUCCUGAAGCAAAUUUUGAAAAAUCAUGUCCUUCUAUCUGAUUAUAAAGUGACUUCACCCUUUAUUCCUCUAACAUGACUCUUCUGGGAUGCUUCAUCCUGGCAUCAGAAAACUCAGAGGCUCUGUCUAAAUGGCACAAGUUCCUCCUACAAAAUGUCAUUCAUAUGCCAGGCAGUAUUAUUUCCUUACAGACAUGGUGGCAAGGGGAUAUGAUGGGAGGGAAUAGAAAUAUUGUCUAGGGAAGAGGACAGAGACCAACCUGGACCUAGGAGGACUUGUAUUUAAGUUUUGCCUCUGAUAUAGAAUUACAUAUUGUCAGAGUAACUGUGGGCAAGUCAGUCCCUCUCUCGGUGCCUCAGAUAUCUCUCUAAGACAACAUUACAGAUAAGGUAGGGUAGUUGGGUAGCACAAUAGGGCCAGGAUUCCAGAAGACCUGGGUGCAAUUUUUCUUUAGACACUUACUAGCUGUGUGACCUAAGCAAACCAUUUCACCUCUUUCUGUCUCAGUUUCCUUGUGUAAAAAGGAAAUUUUACUUCCCCUAUAGAAUAGGAAUCAUAAUAGCAUAUUCCUCCAAGGCUUAUUGUGAGCAUCAAAUGAUAGGACAUUUGUAGAGUGCUUUGCAAAUCUUUAUAGAGCUAUAUACAUUAUAUAUACACAUAUAUAUAUAUAUCCUAGUUAUUAUUUUAAAUUGGUAAUUUACACUGACAGAGGCAGGUUCCAUGCUAGGAAUCAAGAUGCUGAUAAAAUAACAGAUCCAGGUCAAACACGAUCCCUAAAAACACCUGUAAAUCUGCCCCUCAUGGUUUAAGCCUCCACUCCAAUUUGAAGUAGUAUGCCUUUCAUUUCAUUCAUGUAGAGAUACUGAUUUCUUACCAUGUUAACAGAAACCUAGACAAGUACUUUAAGUUUAAAAGCAUACUAAGAUUUUUUGCGACACCUGGGAUUGGCUAGUUGUCUAUAAGUAAAUCACACUUUCUAAGUCCCAGGUUCUUUAUCUGAAAGAAAAAAAUAGAAAAGAAUACCAGUAGUAAUCUAAAAAAAAGUAUGAACUUUAUGGUGUCCUCUAAAUGUCUGCUCUUACUUAAGCUCCUUGAUUCUUCUUGUCAUGGCUUGAUGACAAUGGAUUCCACCAUUUAAAGAGAAAUACAUCCCCCAGAAUUCUUUGGUUACUGUGGAAACUGGUUCCUGUUUGGGUCAGCCUGUGAAUACUGGGUGAAAUCGUUUAUCAUCACUAAAAUGUUACUUAUGUCCUUUCCAUCUCCUUCCUGAAACAGAAUGACUUUGCACACCAGAAGCCAAGGUUGACCAUUGCUUAAGUUCUCCAAGAAAGCAGUCCAAGUGGGUAGUUGCAUUUUAUUUGGAAUAAGCCAUACCAAACUCUCACAUAUUCUUUAGAAAACAGAUCAGUUGGGGGCAGCUGGGUAGCUCAGUGGAUUGAGAACCAGGCCUAGAGACGGGAGGUCCUAGGUUCAAAUCCGGCCUCAGUCACUUCCUAGCUGUUUCACCCUGGGCAAGUCACUUGACCCCCAUUGCCUAGCCCUUACCACUCUUCUGCCUUGGAGCCAAUACACAGUAUUGACUCCAAGACGGAAGGUAAGGGUUUUUAAAAAAAAAAGAAAAAGAAAACAGAUCAGUCACGUCCAUCAACUGGCACCACAAAGCAGCCAAGUCAGCCUGACUGAAGCAGAGAGAAAGACAGGAUGUCUCGUGCCAAGCAAGUCAAACCACCAAGAUCAUCUCAACCAUUGAGACUUUGAUGGCGAUAACCCAUGCAUGACACCGAAUCCAUGAUUCUUCAGGAAUAGCAAUGUCUCUAAGACACCAGCUCUGCUUCCAUUCAAGGCUCUGUGGACAUCACAGAAGAGAAGGGACUCACUGGCCACCACCAACACCAACUACAAUCAUCAGCCUGGGAGGAGAUCUGACCUGGUGACUGCUUCUGCAAUUUACUCUGCCUUCUCAAUAGCCAAACUUCUAAAGACCUGGAAAAUAAAUUCUUGUCACAAAA
Long non-coding RNA from Monodelphis domestica (gray short-tailed opossum), 3327 nucleotides. RefSeq lists it as uncharacterized. NCBI's taxonomy places the organism in Eukaryota, Metazoa, Chordata, Mammalia, Didelphimorphia, Didelphidae. The record is from RefSeq and is a predicted model, not a curated record.